GCAGGCUGCUUGAAUUUUAUCUAAUGUACUUCAGAGAAUUAACAACUAAUACAACAACAAUUAUACCAAAUUCCACAUCUCAAAAUCUCCUCUCUCAAACUAGUCAUGAUUAACCGUGUAAUGCAAUCUAAAACAUUCGUUUCAAAUAAGUUUCUUCUUGUGGAAGAAUCGCUUCAAGUACCAUACCUGCAAAACCGAAGCUCCAAUGCACACGCCAAGAGACAUGAUGCUAAACCAAGCCACCCGUGCAUUCGUCUUUUCACUCACUUGCCUCAUCUCUGCCUCCCUGUGUGUGUACAUUCAACAAACAAUACUUUUUUAUAAUAUUACUUGAUGGAUAUUCGUUGAAUCUGAUAUUCCAUGCUUUUUAACUAAGAUAUCCUUCAACCAUAGACCGGAACAAACCAAUAAAUUCAUAACUAGAAUGGUCAUCAAACCGUUUUCAAAAAUAUAAAAGAAGUUUAUACAUAUAUAUAUAGAGAAGAGGGAGGGGGUUAUAAGAAAAUUUAAAGGAGAGUUGAAAAGUUCGAGAAAACUACUUUUAAAAAUAUUUAUUUUAUCAUUCUUUUUACAUGCUGAAAAAGAUGCAUGCAAUACAAUUGUUUGCAUGUUUUGCUCUCAAUUCUAACCAAAAUCACCGGUUACAAUAAAGUGUGGCAGGAAAAAGGGCAACAAGCUACAUAUAUAUACCUCGUAUCAGCUACAUAUAUGUAGCUUGUCGAUCUACAUAUAUUUUUUUAUUUACUUUUUUGUUUUUACAAUACUAACCUUAGAGAUAAAAGUAAUGAAAAAAAUAGAAAAAAAUUUAAUUGUUUGGUAGUAGUUUUCUCAGUUUUCAAGUCUUUUAUGGUUUUCUCAUGAACUACUUUAUAUAUAACUCUCUCUAUAUAUAAACAAUAAAUUUAAAAAUAUGGAACUACUUUAUCUUUCGGUAUGGAAUAUGGAUUUGCAAUGUUAACAAUAUUUAAAGCCUGAAGCAUUAAAUCAGUUAGUAAAUAAGAUUUUGGAAGGUAAAAAUAUGUAGAUAAUAAAAUUUGAAACCCGAUAUGAACACCCGCUCCGAUUCGCCAGUUUAACCGGUCCAACAGGCUCAAAUGGAAACAGUUCAAAUUAUGUAGCUGAUUCCCAGACCGACUGACCGGCUAGUCCGGUCUGGUUCUAAGAACAUUGAAACAAACAAAUGAUUCCUAUAAAAGAGCAAUAAUAAUUAUUCAAGCAAAAAAUAAAAUUUACCUAUUCUUCAAAUAGAUCAAAUUUUCAUGGAUAGCUUCCACAGCACCUUCAAGUUUUGUCAGUUCAAAUUCGACACCCUAAACAAAAGUAUCAUGUGUAAAUACGGAUUAAAUUUCAUUUAAUUAUAUAAAAAGAUUUGCUCUAAAUAAAUUGGUCGAAUGGGUUAAACUGUAUCCAAACGCUUACAAAGUACUAGUAAUCAAAUUAAAUACAUUAACUGCUUAUCAAAUUAAAAAAAAAAAUGGAACAUAAAAAGUGUAAGGCAGGUCAACCAUUGACCCGCACUAAAAAAUGAUCCAUUCGACCUGAACCCAUUUAGCUCCAUUACCCAACCCACCCAUUUUGUUACCUCCACAGUAUAUUAAAUUAAGUUAGAUUGCAUCAGAUAAAGAUAGUAACCUCGAUCUUCUCUUUCUUUGCAACAGCGUCCCAAUCUUUUGCAGCAAUACCAACUCUCCAAUCAAGACUAACGGAAAGACGAUUACCAGCACGAUUAUUCCCGUCUGCCCAAAAACAUGCCAAGUAGUUGCCAGAUUCCGUAGUUGUAAAUGCAAAUUGACCAUGAGUCACGUUCUCUUUAUGAUGUAGAUUGUUUCCGUAUGGCGAGAUCGACAGUUACCUUGACGGAAAUCGUGGCGCUAGGGUGAAGAUGCGAGUCCUCUCCAUUGUUAAUCAGUGCGUAAUCAGCGAGAACGACGACGUUGUUGUGAAUAUCUUCUGAUACACACUUUGUUCCUGAAUCAGGUAGGUCUAGCCAGAUAGCUUGUGUUAUGGUUGUGGUGAUGCACCACCAUGUGAUAGCGAUAAUAGCUCUGUAGCUCCACCUUGCCGCCAUUAAAGUGGUGGUGAGUUGCAGGUGAAGAAGAUGAAGAAGAAGAAGAAAGAGAUCUGAAGUUGUUGCAGUUUGUUGAAGAUUGAAGUUGUGUUUUGUAUAAAAGUAAAUGAAUAUAUUGGUUUGCUU
Molecule: long non-coding RNA, 2194 nt
Filed under: Helianthus annuus (common sunflower)
Lineage: Eukaryota; Viridiplantae; Streptophyta; Magnoliopsida; Asterales; Asteraceae
Description: hypothetical non coding rna
Source: RNAcentral